Molecule: ribosomal RNA, 578 nt
Filed under: uncultured bacterium
Lineage: Bacteria
Description: bacterial SSU rRNA
Rfam family: Bacterial small subunit ribosomal RNA
Source: RNAcentral
GAUUAACGCUGGCGGCGUGCCCAACACAUGCAAGUCGAACGAGGUAGCAAUACCUAGUGGCAGACGGGUGAGUAACGCGUGGUCAACCUACCGUUGAGUGGGGGAUAACUAGCCGAAAGGUUAGCUAAUACCGCAUACGAGUCUCGGGGGCAUCCCUGGGCCUUAAAAGGAGCAAUCCGCUCGAUGACGGGACCGCGUCCCAUUAGCUAGAUGGUGGGGUAAUGGCCUACCAUGGCUCCGAUGGGUAGCUGGUUUGAGAGAGCGACCAGCCACACUGGGACUGAGAAACGGCCCAGACUCCUACGGGAGGCAGCAGUGAGGAAUUUUCCGCAAUGGGCGAAAGCCUGACGGAGCGACGCCGCGUGUGGGAAGAAGGCCUUCGGGUCGUAAACCACUGUCGAAGGGGACGAUAAUGACGGUACCCUUGGAGGAAGCCCCGGCUAACUACGUGCCAGCAGCCGCGGUAAGACGUAGGGGGCGAGCGUUAUUCGGAAUUAUUGGGCGUAAAGCGCUCGUAGGCGGGAUCGAUAGUCCGUGAAGAAAGACCUGGGCUCAACUCAGGGAACGGCACGGAUACU